GCACGGGUGAGUAACGCGUGGGAACCUGCCCUGAGGUUCGGAAUAACGAUUGGAAACGAUCGCUAAUACCGGAUAAGCCCUGAGGGGGAAAGAUUUAUCGCCUUGGGAGGGGCCCGCGUCCGAUUAGCUUGUUGGUGUGGUAACGGCGCACCAAGGCUUCGAUCGGUAGCUGGUCUGAGAGGAUGAUCAGCCACACUGGGACUGAGACACGGCCCAGACUCCUACGGGAGGCAGCAGUGGGGAAUAUUGGACAAUGGGGGCAACCCUGAUCCAGCAAUGCCGCGUGUGUGAAGAAGGCCUUAGGGUUGUAAAGCACUUUCAGUCGUGACGAUGAUGACGGUAACGACAGAAGAAGCCCCGGCUAACUCCGUGCCAGCAGCCGCGGUAAUACGGAGGGGGCAAGCCGUUGUUCGGAAUUACUGGGCGUAAAGGGCGCGUAGGCGGCCAAGUCAGUCAGGCGUGAAAAGCCCAGGGCUCAACCCUGGAAUUGCGCUUGAUACUGCUUGGCUCGAGACCGGAAGAGGGUAGUGGAAUUCCCAGUGUAAAGGUGAAAUUCGUAGAUAUUGGGGAAGAAACACCAGUGGCGAAAGGCGGCUACCUGGUCCGGGAUCUGACGCUGAGGCGCGAAAGCCGUUGGGGAGUCAAACCAGGAUUAGAUACCCCUGGUAGUCCCACGCCCGUAAACGAAUGAAAUGCUAGACGUUCGGGAAACCUGUUUUCUCGGUGUCGUCGCUUAA
This 737-nucleotide ribosomal RNA is filed under the name uncultured bacterium. Its description in RNAcentral is "bacterial SSU rRNA". It matches the Rfam family "Bacterial small subunit ribosomal RNA", at positions 100 to 856 of the family's 1533-position model. The record is from RNAcentral.